GUCGUCAGUGCUAGGAACCUGCGCCCGGCUGAGCUGAGCGAGGCGAGAGGAGAAAGCGAGGCCCGGGGACGGGACUGAGAGCUCUGAAAGGAGGGAGGCGGCUCCCGAGUACUCCGCGCGGGGCAGGCCCCGGCCUCGCCUCUUCGCCCAUUUUUAAGGCUCGAGUUAGAGGCCACCUCCUCCGAGAAGCCUUCGGUGACACCACCUCUCCCAGACGGUUCCCCUUUCUGAUUCCCACAGCAUUUUCCAACCAUUCACGGGACCGCCACCAUCACAGGCACUCGGUAGAUGUCUGCUGAAUGAGGAUAACUUCUACCCAACACCGUGAAGCCUGGCCCAGGGUCUGGCAUACAGAUGCCGUGUUUGUAAGUCUGUCCUCCUGUCUUUCCAUCCUGCUCCUGUUCCCACCGGCUCUGUCCUCUCCCUCAGAUGUCCAGCCACCACCUCAAUGUCAGCCGAAGCCCAGUGUCUCUCCAAAGCUCUUGAUCUCCAUUUCUGUCAGCGAUACCAUCAUUUCCCAGUCACUCCGUCCAGAAAGGUUGCUGCUACUUUGUGCUCCAGGGUCACUCUUCUCACUGCCCUCUAAGUAUCAGCAAAUCUACAGCCUGGAUCCCUCAACAGCUUGCCCAUGAUCCCCAUCUCUGCCCUGUAACGUGGUCCCCAUUCCAUGCAUGCCUGAACAUGCGUGACCCUGCUGCUCCGUGGCUCAUGUCCUUAUCUCCUGCAUACAUCAUUGUCUAUACCACGCCCCACCCCUGCCUCAAUCUCUCACACUACUGAAGGUACAGUGUAAUCUUGGUCUUCCACCUUGAAAACCUAUGCUGACCAUUCUCUCGAGGCUGAGUUAGUCAUCCAUACCAUUCUUUGGGCAUUCAUAAUCUAUCAUUUGGUAUUGUUAGUGAUCUUUUUAGAGAUUCAACCAGAGCUUGCAAGUUAAUUGAAAACAGGUUACUAUGCUCACAUGUCCCACAUUUCUGGAACAAUUCAGAAUUCAAAUAUUUUGCUCUACUGCUUCAUAUAACAAAUAAAAAUGACCCAAAA
Molecule: long non-coding RNA, 1041 nt
Filed under: Homo sapiens (human)
Lineage: Eukaryota; Metazoa; Chordata; Mammalia; Primates; Hominidae
Description: BTG2 divergent transcript
Source: RNAcentral